This is a long non-coding RNA of Oncorhynchus tshawytscha (Chinook salmon), 2222 nucleotides long. NCBI's taxonomy places the organism in Eukaryota, Metazoa, Chordata, Actinopteri, Salmoniformes, Salmonidae. The record is from Ensembl.
UGUGUGUGUGUAUGUGUGUGUGUGUACAUGUGUGUGUGUUUCUGUGUGUGUGUGUGUGUGUGUGUGUGUGUGUGUGUGUGUGUGUGUGUGUGUGUGUGUGUGUGUGUGUGUGUGUGUGUGUGUGUGUGUGUGUCUCUGUGUGUGUGUGUCUCUGUGUGUGUGUGUAUGUGUGAUACUCAGUGUUGUGUUCUAGAACACCUAAAGCGAGACCGAUUUAAGACAAAGCCCGCAGCAAAAUCGAGUCCGAGUCAAGACCGGAGGGGGACGAGAGGCCGAGGUCAAGCCCGAGACCAGAAAAAUGCGAGUCCAAUCGAAGACCAUGACUGUAAUUUUGUCUAAUCGUCACCAUAAUAAUAGUAAACAAAUAUAGACAUUAAGAUUGGUGAAAAAAUACAUGCUGAGGGCAAAAAAAAAACACUCUACAAAAUAUGACUAACCCAAGCAUAGUGGGGAACAAUGAGGGCCUUCCAUGCUUGUCAGCGAUGUUUGAUUUAAUCUCUUCAGUUUUUGUUGGAAAGUAAAAAGUUAACGCUGAAGAGAAAAAAGGUAGAAUGAGAUUUUUUCUUUGGUGGUCUCUGGGGAGAUAAAUCUAGUGAGCUAGGUCAGCCGUUGGCUAGGCCAUCAGAACCUUGAAUAGAAGGCAUCUGCCAUUCAGCUGUAUUAGGGCAAAUAUUUGGGGUGACAGUGGAAUCAACCAAUCACAUUGACCUUUAAUAGGCAACAGAUCGAAGGCCAACAGGUCACUGUGCCAUAGCGAGCAAUAGUUUUCCCACGCCAUAGAUAGCUAGCUUUUGUUGGAAGUUAUUUUCCGGCGUCUGCAGCAGGCGUCAUGGAAGAGGAUGUUGUUGCUAAUUUGUUAGCUUCUUUGUUAGCUUCUCCCUUUUCAAGUUUCAAAUGAUCAUCUGUUGAGUGGAACAAUGUUUUUAUUACAGCUUGAAUGCUGUUGUUAGCCAUUUCUUUGAAAAUAACCUGUGUGUGAAACAUUGUUGCGUUUAACCUUUAGAUCAGUGGUUACUUCGAUUGGGACAUGUUUAGCCUAAUGAUCGUGUUUUUUGUGUUCUUAUGAUUGGGACCUACUGGCUUGGUAUGUCAGAGUGAAUGGACUGCUGUCGUUCUAUUGGCCCUAUGCAGUGGUGUAGUGGUCCAUGGAAAAGUGGGUCCUGUCUGACAAAUCCUCAAAAUCUUUCAGAUUUUCACUCUCAAAAUGACACUUAACAACACUUAUUGUUGUUGUAAGUCCACAAGAAAGCUUAAACCACAUCAGGAAAUCAUUUUUAAGGUCUGGGAAGAAGAGAAAAAAAAGAAUUUUGGAAGGUGUAGUUAUUAACCUUUAGUUAACUUGAGCACAACAAACGCCUUCCCCAUUGAUACAAAUCAGCAUUAUAUCAUUCUGUCAGGUAGGUCACAUUGCAAUCAACAUUUAAUUGGGAGGGUUUUUUAAGAAAACCUUUAGAGAUGUUUAUCCAAACAGUGCAUAAUGACUGAAUCGCUAAUAGCCUACUAACCAAGAGUAAGGACCAAACUUUUUCAACACCUGGUUUGCAUACCUAUUGUUGCCUUAGUUAGCAUUUACUGGUAGAUAUCAUAAGUUGAAACGUCUUUCCUACCCUAUCCGGCUACCGAUGUCAUUCAUCUGUGAGCUGCUCCAUGCCAACACUAGUUGAGAGCUGCACACUCUUGCUGCCCCUGGAGAUGAUAUUCUGCUGAAACUAGGAUGCGUGUGGCAGCGCGCAUGUGAAUAUAUUUCCAGUGAUUUGCGGUUGUUCAGGCUACUUUGUGCAUGAUUUCACUACAUCAUUCUACUACAUUAUUGAUAAGUCGUAUACCUCCACUAUACUACAUUGAUACGCAUCAGUAGGGAUUAAGAAGUGAGUAUAUGCAAUGCCCACUGAAAAUAAAGUUGGCAUAGGGGCGUAUACCCUCCACAACGCCACUUUGUGUUUUACCCUCCACAACGCCACUUUGUGUUUUACCCUCCACAACGCCACUUUGUGUUUUACCCUCCACAAGGCCCUUUGUGUUUUACAAAACAUGCACUGUCCUACGAGUGUCCUUUCAGAAUCACCAACCUGUCACACACUGAAGACCUAUAGGUUCACCACUGUACUAACCUGUCACACUGAAGACCUAUAGGUUCACCACUGUACUAACCUGUCACACACUGAAGACCUAUAGGUUCACUACUGUACUAACCUGUCACACACUGAAGACCUAUAGGUUCA